RNAcentral lists this unclassified non-coding RNA (421 nucleotides) under uncultured Atheliaceae. RNAcentral describes it as "sequence contains ITS2". The stretch from base 1 to 155 matches the Rfam family "5.8S ribosomal RNA". The record is from RNAcentral. Lineage: Eukaryota; Fungi; Basidiomycota; Agaricomycetes; Atheliales; Atheliaceae.
AACUCUUAACAACUGAUCACUUGGCUCUCGCAUCGAUGAAGAACGCAGCGAAAUGCGAUAAGUAAUGAGAAUUGCAGAUUUUCAGUGAAUCAUCGAAUCUUUGAACGCACCUUGCGCCCCUUGGUAUUCCGAGGGGCAUGCCUGUUUGAGUGUCAUUGAAAUAUCAACCUCGGGCGGAUUUUUUAGAUUCCACCGCGAGGCUUGGACUUUGGAGAGUGCUUGCGCUGGCUGGGUCGGCUCCUCUUAAAUGCAUCAGCGGAAAAGAUCUUGAACCUCUGGAAGUCAGCGUGAUAAUCGUGUUGCGCUGUCCACCGGGUCGGGACCCCUCGCUUCUAAUGGUCUUCGGACAAGAUACAUCAAAUUUGACCUCAAAUCAGGUAGGACUACCCGCUGAACUUAAGCAUAUCAAUAAGCGGAGGCU